CUGCCCAUCACCAGAGUCAGGAGAACUACGAAACUCUCCUCUGGGCUGCUAUCUGUCCUCUCCUCUCAGAGGGCUGAGGUGGAGGCCAUGUGGCACCACCAUGACUACUCUUUGCAUAAGGAUUUUCUUUCUGCUCUCUGAACACCAGCUUUCCUUUCUUAACCCGAGCCUGUUUCUCUUAUGCUUCUUUCAGAGACAAUGAAUAAUCAGUCCACUUCCUUCUUAUAAAAUCCCUCUGUAGAGUAAUCUACUUACCUCCUAAUGGGUGCUUUCCAGGCUAAAUAGCCUAUAUCUUUCUAAUCUCACAUCCCUGGACCUACUUUCUGGACAAAUAAGCAAACUGGCACCUCUAGUAGCUAUGGCUGAGGAAGCAGGAGCAGAGCAAGAUGAUCAGAGUCAUGAUGAUCCUGCCCCCAACCUCACUUCAGCCACACCUGACUGACUUCACUUAAUAGAACCCAGAACAUAGCUUUGGUGAUGGAAUAUGUGGAAGGAGGACCAACAAGACUCUGUAGCGAGUAGUGAUCUGUCUCCAAGUGGAUCUGUCUAGUUCUGGAGACAUCUUUCAUAGAUACUUUCAUAGGCAACUCAAGCAGCUGUGGACUUGGGCUUUGGCACACACAGUGGUCUGUGGGAAGCAUUACUAUAGUACCCAGGACUGUGGAAACCAUGACAUGAGGCAUGCAUUAUGGACCUGAGACAUCCACCCUCCUACCUGUUGGUUAAAUUACUUGCUACCCCAGAGAAAACCGCACUCCCUCCCACAAAGAACCUUGUUCUUCAUUAAUACAGACCCAGGUGCCAUAUUGAGAGUUGGAGAAGAGACAUGUUUGUUCUACACAGUGGUGUCCAAUAAAUC
Long non-coding RNA from Prionailurus viverrinus (fishing cat), 859 nucleotides. RefSeq lists it as uncharacterized. NCBI's taxonomy places the organism in Eukaryota, Metazoa, Chordata, Mammalia, Carnivora, Felidae. The record is from RefSeq and is a predicted model, not a curated record. The transcript is spliced from 3 exons.